Mycena sp. CBHHK59/15 is the source of this 107-nucleotide non-coding RNA. The record is from the annotation of a GenBank genome assembly. NCBI's taxonomy places the organism in Eukaryota, Fungi, Basidiomycota, Agaricomycetes, Agaricales, Mycenaceae.
GGCACUGUGGCGGAGUGGUUAACGCGACAGAUUCGAAUAGGGUCAUCGCCUGAUCACGACUUAUCUGUUCCAGUUUCUGGGCGCAUGUUCGAAUCAUGCCAGUGUCG